UGGGCAAUCUGCCCUUCUCAUCGGAAUAAGCGUUGGAAACGACGUCUAAUGCCGAAUACGACCUCCUUUCGCAUGAUCGGAGGUGGAAAGCUCCGGCGGAGAAGGAUGAGCUCGCGGCCUAUCAGCUAGUUGGUGUGGGUAACGGCCCACCAAGGCGACGAUCCGUAGCUGGUCUGAGAGGACGAUCAGCCACACUGGGACUGAGACACGGCCCAGACCUCUACGGGAGG
RNAcentral lists this ribosomal RNA (230 nucleotides) under uncultured bacterium. Its description in RNAcentral is "partial 16S ribosomal RNA". It matches the Rfam family "Bacterial small subunit ribosomal RNA", at positions 118 to 347 of the family's 1533-position model. The record is from RNAcentral.